ACUGUCGUAGCUCAGCUUGGUAGAGCAACUGUUUUUACAGUGUGCCGCUGGUUCGAAUCCAGUCGACAGUA
This 71-nucleotide transfer RNA is filed under the name Cellvibrio sp. PSBB006. It matches the Rfam family "tRNA". Rfam says of the family: Transfer RNA (tRNA) molecules are approximately 80 nucleotides in length. Their secondary structure includes four short double-helical elements and three loops (D, anti-codon, and T loops). Further hydrogen bonds mediate the characteristic L-shaped molecular structure. tRNAs have two regions of fundamental functional importance: the anti-codon, which is responsible for specific mRNA codon recognition, and the 3' end, to which the tRNAs corresponding amino acid is attached (by aminoacyl-tRNA synthetases). tRNAs cope with the degeneracy of the genetic code in two manners: having more than one tRNA (with a specific anti-codon) for a particular amino acid; and 'wobble' base-pairing, i.e. permitting non-standard base-pairing at the 3rd anti-codon position. Lineage: Bacteria; Pseudomonadati; Pseudomonadota; Gammaproteobacteria; Cellvibrionales; Cellvibrionaceae. The record is from Rfam by way of RNAcentral.